Long non-coding RNA from Cebus imitator (Panamanian white-faced capuchin), 359 nucleotides. RefSeq lists it as uncharacterized. Lineage: Eukaryota; Metazoa; Chordata; Mammalia; Primates; Cebidae. The transcript is spliced from 2 exons. The record is from RefSeq and is a predicted model, not a curated record.
CCUGUAAAGAGAAAGUUAAGCUUACCUACAUAAAAUAAAACCAAGGGAGAACUCUUACAUUUCAUAUUUUCUACUAGUACUGUAUCCAUUACAAAUUUCAAACCAAUUCAGUAAUUUGUAACAUUUUAUCUCUAAGUGCUUGUUUUAUUUUCCUUAUCAUAACAGAUUGCAUUAAAUCUAACAAUUUUUCUUUGUUCAGAGACUUUUAAGAGAAACACAGAAGUACCACUCAGCUGAGUUGCAGCAGACAAACCAUUUGAGGAAUUCCAAAUUUCUGCUGUAACAUGAGCACAGGACUAACCAAACCUUCUGAUGGAAGCACCAUGCCAGGAAAUCUUUGCUGUUUAUUCAAAAAGCUG